CGACUCACAGUGGGCCGGCUGUCUCCCUGUGGGUGGCACCGCCUCCUGGAUGUCCCCGUAGUCGGCUUCGAAGUCUAUGGGGAGGAGCACAGCACUGCCCGUGACGUGCACAGGCCUCCCGAGGCGCCCACGGCCGCCCAGGACCUCGUGCAGGGUCCACCCACGGCUCGGCAGCGUCACCCCAUUGCUGGGGCCGUGGAGGGGCAGGCGGCUGGGUGCCUGGCUCCCCGGGAUGAGCCGCCGUGGGUACAGGGCCGAAGCCAAGCUCUCGCUCCCCCCAGGCUCCCCUGUCCCUUCAGAGAGCCUCGUGCCCCUUCCCCUCAGCAGGACGGAGGUAGAUACAUCCCCGCGGCUGUCCUGUCCCGGGGGCUGGGGGUGCAGAGGCCCCCCACCCGCUGGCCUGAGGCCCGGGGCCCCUGGGGCGGGGACAUCUGCCAGGCUGCUGCCCAAGGAAGGUGCACGUCGGUGACAUCACGAGGGGACGGUGCUCCCCGACAAAGGGUCCCCUCUCCACUUGGGAGGCACAGAAAUGGUUCGGGUGCAGCCUGGAAACUGGGGGGAAAGGGAAGGGCCGGGGCACCGGGACGGAGUGGGGGACAGGACGGCCCUGAGCCCGACACGGCCUCGCUGGGGAGAAGGGACCUGAGCACGAGCGUCCUGCAAGCUCAGCACUUACCAGAGGGGGACGGCGACGGGCUCCAGGGCGACCAAGUCCCAGGGGACCCCGCGAACCGGCGAGCCAGUCCAGGGAACGCGGCGUCGCCCGCAUCAGGAAGCGGGUGCGUGUCGACGGGCCCCAAGGAUAGUGUCCCCGGGAGUGACGGUCCCGGCUGCACCCGGGGCUGUGGUGACUGCUUCUGUGAGGACGCCGCACCCGUCCCACGGGGCUCCGGGCAGCUCGCCGCCGUGGACGGUGCGCUGGACGGCAGCUGCAUGGAAUCGGCCCCCAGGCCGGCAGCGCCCAGCAGCCCCACCGCCCUGCAAAAGGGACCUGGACCAGACGGGCACCAGGGUCAGACGUUGGGGUAG
Molecule: long non-coding RNA, 1029 nt
Filed under: Canis lupus familiaris (dog)
Lineage: Eukaryota; Metazoa; Chordata; Mammalia; Carnivora; Canidae
Description: lncRNA (ENSCAFG00030020814.1)
Source: RNAcentral